RNAcentral lists this ribosomal RNA (1183 nucleotides) under Enterococcus faecium. RNAcentral's name for it is "bacterial SSU rRNA". It matches the Rfam family "Bacterial small subunit ribosomal RNA", at positions 186 to 1358 of the family's 1533-position model. The record is from RNAcentral. Lineage: Bacteria; Bacillati; Bacillota; Bacilli; Lactobacillales; Enterococcaceae.
CCGCAUGGUUUUGAUUUGAAAGGCGCUUUCGGGUGUCGCUGAUGGAUGGACCCGCGGUGCAUUAGCUAGUUGGUGAGGUAACGGCUCACCAAGGCCACGAUGCAUAGCCGACCUGAGAGGGUGAUCGGCCACAUUGGGACUGAGACACGGCCCAAACUCCUACGGGAGGCAGCAGUAGGGAAUCUUCGGCAAUGGACGAAAGUCUGACCGAGCAACGCCGCGUGAGUGAAGAAGGUUUUCGGAUCGUAAAACUCUGUUGUUAGAGAAGAACAAGGAUGAGAGUAACUGUUCAUCCCUUGACGGUAUCUAACCAGAAAGCCACGGCUAACUACGUGCCAGCAGCCGCGGUAAUACGUAGGUGGCAAGCGUGUCCGGAUUUAUUGGGCGUAAAGCGAGCGCAGGCGGUUUCUUAAGUCUGAUGUGAAAGCCCCCGGCUCAACCGGGGAGGGUCAUUGGAAACUGGGAGACUUGAGUGCAGAAAGGAGAGUGGAAUUCCAUGUGUAGCGGUGAAAUGCGUAGAUAUAUGGAGGAACACCAGUGGCGAAGGCGGCUCUCUGGUCUGUAACUGACGCUGAGGCUCGAAAGCGUGGGGAGCAAACAGGAUUAGAUACCCUGGUAGUCCACGCCGUAAACGAUGAGUGCUAAGUGUUGGAGGGUUUCCGCCCUUCAGUGCUGCAGCUAACGCAUUAAGCACUCCGCCUGGGGAGUACGACCGCAAGGUUGAAACUCAAAGGAAUUGACGGGGGCCCGCACAAGCGGUGGAGCAUGUGGUUUAAUUCGAAGCAACGCGAAGAACCUUACCAGGUCUUGACAUCCUUUGACCACUCUAGAGAUAGAGCUUCCCCUUCGGGGGCAAAGUGACAGGUGGUGCAUGGUUGUCGUCAGCUCGUGUCGUGAGAUGUUGGGUUAAGUCCCGCAACGAGCGCAACCCUUAUUGUUAGUUGCCAUCAUUCAGUUGGGCACUCUAGCAAGACUGCCGGUGACAAACCGGAGGAAGGUGGGGAUGACGUCAAAUCAUCAUGCCCCUUAUGACCUGGGCUACACACGUGCUACAAUGGGAAGUACAACGAGUUGCGAAGUCGCGAGGCUAAGCUAAUCUCUUAAAGCUUCUCUCAGUUCGGAUUGCAGGCUGCAACUCGCCUGCAUGAAGCCGGAAUCGCUAGUAAUCGCGGAUCAGCACGCC